UACAGAGGGUGCGAGCGUUAAUCGGAGUGACUGGGCGUAAAGGGCGCGUAGGCGGCGAGAUUAGUCUGAUGUGAAAUACCCGGGCUUAACCUGGGAUGUGCAUUGGAAACGGUCUGGCUAGAGUAUGAGAGAGGGAAGUGGAAUUUCCGGUGUAGCGGUGAAAUGCGUAGAUAUCGGGAAGAACACUCGUGGCGAAGGCGACUUUCUGGCUCAAAACUGACGCUGAGGCGCGAUGGCGUGGGGAGCAAACAGG
Molecule: ribosomal RNA, 253 nt
Filed under: uncultured bacterium
Lineage: Bacteria
Description: partial 16S ribosomal RNA
Rfam family: Bacterial small subunit ribosomal RNA
Source: RNAcentral